Molecule: ribosomal RNA, 254 nt
Filed under: uncultured bacterium
Lineage: Bacteria
Description: partial 16S ribosomal RNA
Rfam family: Bacterial small subunit ribosomal RNA
Source: RNAcentral
GACAGAGGGUGCAAACGUUGUUCGGAAUUACUGGGCGUAAAGCGCGUGUAGGCGGCUAAGUAAGUCGGGCGUGAAAUCCCACGGCUCACCCGUGGAACUGCUUGGUAUACUGGUCGUCUUGAGCCUUCUAGGGGCGAGUGGAACAAAUGGUGGAGCGGUGAAAUGACGUAGAUAUCAUUUGGAACGCCAAUGGUGAAAACAACUCGCUGGGGAAGUGCUGACGCUGAGACACGAAAGCCAGGGGAGCGAACGGG